GGAAGCUUUCGGGUGGAAUGAACUUAACUUAGCGGCGGACGGGUGAGUAACGCGUGGACAACCUACCCUGUACAGGGGGAUAACAAUGGGAAACCAUUGCUAAUACCUCAUAACACCUUUUAGGGGCAUCCCUUUAAGGUCAAAGAAUUUCGGUACAGGAUGGGUCCGCGUCUGAUUAGCUAGUUGGUGAGGUAAUGGCUCACCAAGGCGACGAUCAGUAGCCGGCCUGAGAGGGUGAACGGCCACACUGGAACUGAGACACGGUCCAGACUCCUACGGGAGGCAGCAGUGGGGAAUUCUACACUAUGGGCGAAAGCCUGAUGCAGCAACGCCGCGUGAGCGAUGAAGGCUUUCGGGUCGUAAAGCUCUGUCCUAAGGGAAGAUAAUGACGGUACCUUAGGAGGAAGCCCCGGCUAACUACGUGCCAGCAGCCGCGGUAAUACGUAGGGGGCAAGCGUUAUCCGGAAUCAUUGGGCGUAAAGGGUGCGUAGGCGGCCCUAUAGGUCAGAGGUCAAAGGCUACGGCUCAACCGUAGUAAGCCUUUGAAACUGUAGGGCUUGAGUGCAGGAGAGGAGAGUGGAAUUCCUAGUGUAGCGGUGAAAUGCGUAGAUAUUAGGAGGAACACCAGUGGCGAAGGCGACUCUCUGGACUGCAACUGACGCUGAGGCACGAAAGCGUGGGGAGCGAACAGGAUUAGAUACCCUGGUAGUCCACGCCGUAAACGAUGAGUGCUAGGUGUCGGGGGUCGAACCUCGGUGCCGCAGCUAACGCAUUAAGCACUCCGCCUGGGGAGUACGUUCGCAAGAAUGAAACUCAAAGGAAUUGACGGGGACCCGCACAAGCAGCGGAGCAUGUGGUUUAAUUCGAAGCAACGCGAAGAACCUUACCUGGACUUGACAUCCCUCGGACCGCUUUUUAACCAAAGCCUUCCCUUCGGGGACUGAGGUGACAGGUGGUGCAUGGUUGUCGUCAGCUCGUGUC
RNAcentral lists this ribosomal RNA (981 nucleotides) under uncultured bacterium. RNAcentral describes it as "bacterial SSU rRNA". It matches the Rfam family "Bacterial small subunit ribosomal RNA", at positions 69 to 1066 of the family's 1533-position model. The record is from RNAcentral.